UUACAUUUAAAAUGUAUUGGCAUAAAUGAGGAAUCCUGACUUCUUACAUCUUUACAGUUAAAUCCUUUUAUGGGUGGGCUCAAAGAUGCACUGCCAUUUCCAGAGGCUGGAGUGUAUUUUUAGAGGAAGCCUUUUGAUAGCGUUGUUAAAAACUGAUUGCAUUCCAUCCCUAACGUCAGCCUGAUGCAGAGGAUUUUGCAAAGGCAGUUUGUUAUAAAUUGUUGAGUCACCCUGCUCUGUAACUGGUAUGAACUGAAGUGCUACGCCUAUAGCCUACAGAAAAACACUCUGGAAUUCACCAAGAAGGUAUCCAAAAACAAACCUGACUAUUUUUACACGUUAGCUGUGUUUGCUUUCUGCUAAUAACAAUUAAUGAGAUUUGUUUGUCUUCCUUUCAGGUCUGUAAUGGGGGGAUGCAGCCGCUGCAGGCAGCAGAUGUGAGCAGUGGCAGCCCAGAGGAUGCGCUCACUGCCCAGCCAGGUCAGUGCUUUGUGCUGGCAAGGGAUGGGGUGCACACACUGCUCCUUCCCACAUGGUCACCCAGGGAAUUCACAAAAUACAGAGGAUUUUACCUGUCUGACGGGUAUUUUUUGUUUGACAACAUUUACAUUCUAAGGCACCAGCACAUGAUGAGGCAAACUGCUCUGCCUGGUUCCCCUAACAGCAGCUGCAGGUAGGAAACAAAAAGGCAAACACAGUUUGUGUACUCUUAUUUAUAUGGCCACCGUGGGUCGUGCGACAGCUGCUCCGGGGCUGCAGAGACAUCUAGUGGGAAUGAGGCUCUCACAGCAGCAGCUCGGAAGCGUGAGAAAGCACCUUCACACUGCAGCAUUUUCAGAGUACUGCACUCCAAAAUGUGCCCAAGGGCUGAGAUGCUCCUCCUGUCACCACUGUAAGACUAUGCCAUGCAGUCGUAAUACAUACUGCAUUUCUAAAGUAGCAAGACCAAUAGCCAAGUAGUGAUUUUCAUUUUCACCUGGGUUUAAAUCGCACUAGAACAAUAAUUUUCAGCUUGCAAAGCACACACACGUUGCUGGGUGGGAGCCCAGCGAGCAGAGAAAUGCAGUUCUGUCCUGCUGUGUGUUGCUGAACUCCCUCUGCCCCUCUCUGGGCUGAGCUUCAACUCCGGUUUCCUUCCAGAAGGAGUGCAGUAUCACGGUACAUCUCGUCCUGCAGUGGCAAUUCCAGGGUGACUCAGAGCCUAAGUCCUGCUCCCUGCUGUCAUACAAUCUGACCCUGCCACCUCUAUUUUUUCUCUAGAUCUCACCAAAGUAGUAAGACAAAGAGGGCAGGGAACAAUCAGGAAAAAACCAAAUCAAAUGAAGUACAAAGUCAAAAUUACAAGUGGUGAGUAGCUUAAAUUCUGUUGUACUGUAACCUAUGGCACUGCUUAUAAUUCCUGCUACAAUACGAAGUCACCGCAGCCUUGUGGCACAGGUGGAUUAAGUCCUGGGUUCGAGUUGAUCUCUUCUAAAACAGGUUUCUAGAGUUCAAGGAUCUCUGCUAAAAAUAUCCUCCUUCUGGUAACAUGACAAAUGGAAAACUGUGAUCAUAGGGAAGGCUGGUUUUGAGUUACUGAUGAAAAAACGGCCUUCAGGAUCACUCAGUCCUGUUCAUAUCUGAAAGCUUUAAGCAGAAGUAGCAAAAUUUGAUCUCCUGGCCAGCAGUGUUGUCACAGCUACAAAAAUCCUUCUAAAAUACUGUAACCACAAUUUAAAAGUAAACACGGCUGAUUUUCAAGGAAUUAUCAUAAUUAAAAGAGAAAUAGCUGUGGACAUGCUGGAUGACUCAAGGGCUAGUGAACAUUUUACCUGAAAGUUAUCAAAUCAAAAUCAGCCUGGCUUGAUUUAAUUGAUGGUGGCUGUUCGGCAGGCUAAGUGAAAUGAGUUUGCUAAUGUAAUUUCUAGGGGUAGAGGUCUUUGCUGACUACCAGAAGUCAGAAUAGAUCAAGUUACAGCAUUAUCUUUUCACUCCUACACAUGAUUUGGCUAAGUCAGAUUUAAGGUAGUUCAGUAUUACGAGGAACUCUGUGCUGCAACCAAUUGUAUCUGAGACACACUGCCACAAGUCCUGAAUGACAAAACCUUAGCACAGAUGUCUCUAAGGACUACACAAUGCACCCAGCAGCCCCAGGUUUAGUUGGGCAGCUAACAAACAACUGCUUCUUUCCCUUUCUAAUCAGGAAUCCAUCCACGUUCACCAGGAGGAUGAAAUAAAGUGGAAAAUACGGCGAGAAGAAAUACAGUUUUAAUAGGCAAGAGUCAUAAAUUGCAAUGGUUUACAUUGGAAAACCUCAGAAGCAAAGACGCUAAGAAAGCAGAGCAACUGUAGGAAGGUAGGAUUUUUUUCUCUGGCUCAGGAAACACGUGGACUGAAAGACAGCACUGCAUUCUUGCAAGACCACAGUGAUUAAUCUGGGCACAUAGAUGAGUUUCGUGUCUGUGUUAUGACGCACUUAAUAAAAAUCGUAUCUGGCUAUCCCAUUAGGUAAUACAUUUACGUUUUCCUCAAGCAAAAAUGCCCCACAUGUGGAGCUUAUGGAGUGCACAUGUAUUUGGACACAACCCUUUGAAAAUAUGUCCAAAGCUUGUAAGGUAAUUUUAAGCGGUAGGUUUUUCAGAAUUAUGUUUAGUCUUGCAAUACUGGGUAUAGAAUCGAGUUUCUUUGUAAUGUUGCUUCCCUCUCUCAUCCUUCAUUUCUGAUGCUCAAAUAUCUGUCUGCCUUUGACAGGAAAAUGAAUAAUUUAUCACAGGAUGCUAUUCAAGUAAAAGCAAAAUAAGGAAAUAGAGAGUUUACACAACUUCAAUCAAGAGCGCUGUAGUAGACAGUUACACUUGUAACCCUCCAGACUGGCCUUACACAACCUUUAUGGGAACAAACUCAGUGCAACAGCUGAAAGUUUAAGCUGGAAAAUCAGCAACAGCAGCUUCUGAGGGCAGAGUGCUGAUCCAGCACCUCUCUGGUAGGACUCAGCUUUGGAAAGCACCGACAUUCACUGCAAACAAAUCCUGCAGGAGGGCACUGACAUCACAUGGGUUGGUGUUAGAACAUCCAGCUUCACUUAUGCAACAAGGAAUCCAUGCUAUGAUUCAAACUCACUUGCAAGAUACAACACCUGGCACUGCUAAGAUUGAUAAUAAACUCCAAGUGAAAUCUUA
Coturnix japonica (Japanese quail) is the source of this 3158-nucleotide non-coding RNA. The record is from RefSeq and is a predicted model, not a curated record. Lineage: Eukaryota; Metazoa; Chordata; Aves; Galliformes; Phasianidae.